RNAcentral lists this long non-coding RNA (1090 nucleotides) under Vulpes vulpes (red fox). RNAcentral's name for it is "lncRNA (ENSVVUG00000026521.1)". Lineage: Eukaryota; Metazoa; Chordata; Mammalia; Carnivora; Canidae. The record is from RNAcentral.
AGAACGUAUCCUGUAAGGAUUCCAUUAAUAUAAAAUUCAAAUAUUGGCGGGACUGGAGAAGCUUCUUUUAAAUCACCAAUGAAAUUCUCCUCAGGCCAGGCAAUGCAACUCCUCUAACUUUUCUCACUGCUAAUAUAUAUAUAAUUUCCAUUCUCUGAGUGCCUGCUGUGUGUCAGGCAUUAUAGUAAGUGCUUUCCACAAACAGUUGCAUUUAAUCCUUCAAUAGACCUUUGAAGCAGGUACUGUUAUGCCCAUUUUACUGAUUAGGAGACUGAGGUUUAGAGAGAUCAAGUGUUUUCCCUGGGGUCAAACUACCAGCAAGUGCUAGCGGCUAAAAUCAGCCCAUUUCCUCCUGAUUCCUUGCACCAUGCUCUGUAUGGCUCGUGAGUCCUCAGUGGUUGGAAAGCAGGGAGGCCAGUGUGGGUGCUGAAAACCACACCUCCCGUGUGACCGCUAGAGAGUCAUCCCACCAUGUGGGCUGAUGCCUUCCUAUUGCAGUUGUGAGCAUGCAAAGUGGCUGCCGUGAACCUUCCCAGUCACAGGGAUGUGACAGUGACCUGAACAGACAAAACUCCCUGCACCCAACAGCAUCUUAAGGCAGAGAGGAAUAAUGGACACAAACACAAGAAAGAAGAGGCCCCAAAAUUGAGCCCUGGAGCACGCUGACACAUGUGGUCAUGGAAAUGAAGAAGGACUCACAAAGGGACUUGGACAAGUGGCCAAGAAGUAGGAGAGCCAAGAACCUGGCGCAGUCCCCAGCAUCCAAGCUAAGGAAGUGUGCUCACUGAAUGGAUGGUUGACCCAAUCUUGAGGUGAUUUCAACAUCAAACCCAACUCACAGCAACACAGUCCUAGUGAGUCUUAUCAAAUAGAGACCUGGGAUCGUCCUACAUCCAGGGCCGUAUUGGCCUUCACUCUAAUUUUUCCUUAAAUAGACAGUAGCAGAGUGGAGGAGGAGGGGAAAAUAUCUCUGGGGCCAGUGUGCCAUCACCAGGAUUUCCGUGAUAAUCAUCCACACUGGUCAGUCGUUUAUGGGAAUAUGAUCCGAGUGCCAGCAAAGGCCUCCCUGUCUGUCUGGCUUCUGCACCCA